UGGGGAAUAUUGCAAAAUGGGCGAAAGCCCGAUGCAGCAACGCCGCGUGGGCGAUGAAGGCCUUCGGGUCGUAAAGCCCUUUUUGAGGGGAUGAGGAAGGACAGUACCCUCAGAAUAAGCCUCGGCUAACUACGUGCCAGCAGCCGCGGUAAAACGUAGGAGGCGAGCGUUAUCCGGAUUUACUGGGCGUAAAGCGCGUGCAGGCGGAUUGGAGAGUUGGAUAUGAAAGCUCCCGGCUUAACUGGGAGAGGUCGUUCAAUACUUCCACUCUUGAGUGCAGUAGAGGGAAGUGGAAUUCCGGGUGUAGUGGUGAAAUGCGUAGAUAUCCGGAGGAACACCAGUGGCGAAAGCGGCUUCCUGGACUGUAACUGACGCUCAGACGCGAAAGCUAGGGUAGCAAACG
RNAcentral lists this ribosomal RNA (403 nucleotides) under uncultured bacterium. RNAcentral describes it as "bacterial SSU rRNA". It matches the Rfam family "Bacterial small subunit ribosomal RNA", at positions 355 to 774 of the family's 1533-position model. The record is from RNAcentral.